Molecule: ribosomal RNA, 138 nt
Organism: Ursus americanus (American black bear)
Lineage: Eukaryota; Metazoa; Chordata; Mammalia; Carnivora; Ursidae
Source: Ensembl
GUCUACGGCCAUACCACCCUGAAUGUGCCCAAUCUUGUCUGAUCUCAGAAGCUAAGCAGGGUUGGGCCUGGUUAGUACUUGGAUGGGAGUGUAGCUCUUUCUUUGUUAUAUGAUACACUUAUCUGGAUGAUGUGAAUG